Molecule: long non-coding RNA, 490 nt
Organism: Mytilus californianus (California mussel)
Lineage: Eukaryota; Metazoa; Mollusca; Bivalvia; Mytilida; Mytilidae
Exons: 2
Source: RefSeq, a predicted model, not a curated record
AUUGAACCAGAUCAACAUGGUGGUGAUGAUACGGCUCUUAACAGUAUCAAGCUAAUAUGUGGAUCAAAAGACGGCCAUUACGGUAGUACAGUUACAUCCGGUGAGGGGAGCUGGGGAAGCUGGGUAGGAGCCACGAUGUGUAGUUAUAGUUAUAAUGAUACUCAAACAUAUCUUUCAUCGUUUGCGUUACAAGUGGAAGAAUUAUUGCCAGGAGACAGAGACGAUGUUGCAGCUACCUACGUAAAAUUCUGGUGUAGAGAUUUUGAUUUGAAUCGUGAACACGAAUUAGCUCAUCCACCUGGACGGGGAUCAUUGGGUAUUUAUGGAAAUCAGAGCGAAAAAUGCAACCAAGGUACUGCCAUAUGUGGACUUCAAACCAAUAUUGAGGCGCCGAUAUUUUUCGGAGAUGACACAGCGCUCAACAAUGUCAAAUUCUUCUGUUGUGCAUAAAACAAUGACAAAAUACAACGAAUACAUAUGAUACAAUUAA